Molecule: ribosomal RNA, 379 nt
Filed under: uncultured eukaryote
Lineage: Eukaryota
Description: partial 18S ribosomal RNA
Rfam family: Eukaryotic small subunit ribosomal RNA
Source: RNAcentral
CAAUAGCGUAUAUUUAAGUUGUUGCAGUUAAAAAGCUCGUAGUUGGAUUUCGGAUGGGACUUGCCGGUCCGUCGUUUCGAUGUGCACUGGCCAGUCCUAUCUUGUUGUCGGGGACUAGCUCCUGGGCUUCACUGUCCGGGACUAGGAGCUGACAAGGUUACUUUGAGUAAAUUAGAGUGUUCAAAGCAAGCCUACGCUCUGAAUACAUUAGCAUGGAAUAACACGAUAGGACUCUGGCUUAUCUUGUUGGUCUGUGAGACCAGAGUAAUGAUUAAGAGGGACAGUCGGGGGCAUUCGUAUUUCAUUGUCAGAGGUGAAAUUCUUGGAUUUAUGAAAGACGAACUUCUGCGAAAGCAUUUGUCAAGGAUGUUUUCAUUGA